UCAAAGACGGCCCCCAUGCGUCAGAAGAGCAGCAAACCAUCCCGAAGGAGCAGCAGAGCCCAGUGUUGGUACUGUGGACUGGCUUGGAAGAGGACUACUGAGUAGAUAGAAAGAGGUCAACCCCAUCCAACCUCAGCAACUACUGUACUAGCAUGGCUACGGCAAGCACCUCAGGGCAGAGCACCUUCGGGCUCGGGAGGAAAAAGAAGAACCCUGGUCUCAUGGAUCAGAUCACCAAGUUCUUUGGGGGAGACAAAAAGAAAAGGAGCAAGGGCUCGUUCCGGGGUCACCUGGCCACCUCACCCCAGUCCUCCGCUCGCCGCCGGACCAAAGAAAAUGCUGUGGUGCAUUUCUUCAGGAGCAUUGUUUCCUCUCCUCGUCCUAAAUCCAGGGCCUCGUCGCCGCGUGCUGAGAGCACAAAGUCGCCGGUCAGAAGACGCAGAGACCAAAGCACACUGUCCAGGAUCUUCAGCCUGGUGAGCUUACUGCACGUUUGCCUCAUUGUUUUACUCAACAUUUCCUCUUUCGAUCUGUAAAACUGGGCUUCAUAAACACUGUUUCCUGUCUGUGUUUGCCCAAAUGCAACAGUGAUGCUCUCAGCAGAGAUCAGGAGAAACCAAGUCCCGUCCACCCCCUAAACGCUGGAGCACCAUCUUCUAAGCUCUCCGCCGAGGACCACACCACAGAUCCAACGCCGAUGGGACAGGACAAAGGAGGGGAAACAGAUCUGCAAGCGGCGGACUCACAACCUCAAGAAAUGUUAACCCACUAACACCAUCCUCCUGUAUGUUUAGACACUGACAUUGACAGAGUAUGAAACCACUCUCCAGGGAUGUAGCUGGUCACUGUGCCUUUUAUUUUCUUCUUUUUUUUUUUUUUAAAUCCUACUUCUACGGAUAUCUUGUCUAGCUGUUUAUAAGAGGUUUGGUCAUGCUUUUAGUUAUCUUACUGUAAAAACUCUCCCAUUUGAGUAUCUUGUCUGAUGGUGCUAGUGUGUGCUGUCUGAGGUUUGUUCAUUUGUUCAGCAUAUGGCAGAUGCUUGUUUUUCUAUUUGUCUCCUGUCAUCUGCGUUUUGUACAUAAGUGACGCUUUAUGUAUGUCGCUUUUUAGAAACACCACUCACACACCAAACGUGAAAUCUAGACAAAGAGUGGUCCUGUUUGUGGCUGUUGUGCUCGAGUGAAACGUAUGUUGCAAAGCAUGUGAAAACACACCUG
Sander lucioperca (pikeperch) is the source of this 1217-nucleotide RNA transcript. It is a transcript of the gene named myelin basic protein a, with no coding region annotated. The transcript has 5 exons. The record is from RefSeq and is a predicted model, not a curated record. NCBI's taxonomy places the organism in Eukaryota, Metazoa, Chordata, Actinopteri, Perciformes, Percidae.